This 484-nucleotide ribosomal RNA is filed under the name uncultured bacterium. Its description in RNAcentral is "partial 16S ribosomal RNA". It matches the Rfam family "Bacterial small subunit ribosomal RNA", at positions 30 to 507 of the family's 1533-position model. The record is from RNAcentral.
AUUGAACGCUGGCGGCAGGCCUAACACAUGCAAGUCGAGCGGAUGAAGGGAGCUUGCUCCUGGAUUCAGCGGCGGACGGGUGAGUAAUGCCUAGGAAUCUGCCUGGUAGUGGGGGAUAACGUCCGGAAACGGGCGCUAAUACCGCAUACGUCCUGAGGGAGAAAGUGGGGGAUCUUCGGACCUCACGCUAUCAGAUGAGCCUAAGUCGGAUUAGCUAGUUGGUGGGGUAAAGGCCUACCAAGGCGACGAUCCGUAACUGGUCUGAGAGGAUGAUCAGUCACACUGGAACUGAGACACGGUCCAGACUCCUACGGGAGGCAGCAGUAGGGAAUAUUGGACAAUGGGCGAAAGCCUGAUCCAGCCAUGCCGCGUGUGUGAAGAAGGUCUUCGGAUUGUAAAGCACUUUAAGUUGGGAGGAAGAGCAGUAAGUUAAUACCUUGCUGUUUUGACGUUACCAACAGAAUAAGCACCGGCUAACUUCGUG